UACGGAGGGAGCUAGCGUUGUUCGGAAUUACUGGGCGUAAAGCGCACGUAGGCGGCGAUCUAAGUCAGAGGUGAAAGCCUGGAGCUCAACUCCAGAACUGCCUUUGAGACUGGAUUGCUAGAAUCCGGGAGAGGUGAGUGGAAUUCCGAGUGUAGAGGUGAAAUUCGUAGAUAUUCGGAAGAACACCAGUGGCGAAGGCGGCUCACUGGACCGGCAUUGACGCUGAGGUGCGAAAGCGUGGGGAGCAAACAGGAUUAGAAACCCGGGUAGUCC
This 273-nucleotide ribosomal RNA is filed under the name uncultured prokaryote. Its description in RNAcentral is "partial 16S ribosomal RNA". It matches the Rfam family "Bacterial small subunit ribosomal RNA", at positions 524 to 796 of the family's 1533-position model. The record is from RNAcentral.